AUGGUCCCCCAGGAACUUAAAAUUAACAGCUAUAACCCCGUGGGAGAAUAUGAGCCUGUUGCUGUUUGCAUAGGAAGAACGUACUCCAAGAUUGACACUCUUACAACAGGGAGUCAGUACAGGGAAAGCUUGCAGCAGCUGGACAGAUACAAAUGGUGCUGCGUGCAGCAGCUCAUCAGGCGACACAGCCGCCUCUUGGAGCCUGCCAAGACUCUGGUGCUACUGCACGGAUGCUUCACCAGCAUGAAGCAACUCCUGCCUAAAAUUCGGGGAUCCUACUCACAAGGCACCUUAAGGGCUGACGGAGCUCAAUCCGACGACGAGGUGGCGGAGAUGAUGCUGCUAGACGGCUGCUUCAUCCUACACCGACUGCUCAAGUACGCGCGACGCGCGGAAAUGGAAGAAGCUGGUGGCGUUGGCGAUCAGAUUGUCGACGACGACGACGACUGGACUCAGGUGUACGGCAGGUGCUUUGUGUGGCAGUUGGUGACGCGGGACCUGCUGCUGCUGGAGAACCAGAUCCCUUUCUUCGUCAUCCAAGAGCUUUUCCAGCAGCUGAGGAACGAGGGCAAAUCCGAAAAUCUCCUCGUUACCGGCAGCCUCAGGCUUUUCCGCUCCCUUCGUCCCCAGAUGCUGCACCAGUCGCCCAUCGCAUGCCGCAGCGUGCACCACCUGCUGCAUCUCUUCUACCUCUCCGUCAGCUUCCCACCGAACCACGACCGGCAGCAUUCCCGCCGCCGCCGAACCGAUGAGUUUCUGCAGUGGAUCCCGUGCGCCAACGAGCUGGAGGAGGGGGUCCAGUUCCGCAAGAGGGAGAAUGCCACGAGCUUCCUAGACGUGAGCUUCGCCCAGGGCGUGCUGGAGAUCCCACAGUUGGAGCUCAACGACUCCAGCGAGUCGCUGUUCCGGAACCUGAUCGCAUUCGAGCAGACCUACCCGGACACCCCGUGUGACGUCUCCACCUAUGCCGUCUUCAUGGACUGCCUCAUCACCUCGGCGGAGGACAUGAGGAUCCUGGACCUGCAUGGCGUCCUCGUCAGCCAUCUCAGCAGCAGCAGCAGGCGGGUUGCAUGGAAUUUCUUCAGUGACAUUGUCGGGAAGGUGCACUGGUCGGUUGACGACAACUACCUGGUCGGCCUGAUGAACGAGGUGAACAGGUACAGGGAGCGCAGGCGGCACAAGUGGCGCGCGGCGCUUGACCGCAACUACUUCAGCAACCCAUGGGUGACCAUGUCAGUGUUGGCGGCCCUACUCCUGCUCUCCAUGGCCGUGCUGCAGACCUUCUUCGCUGUCUAUGCCUACUUCAAGCCUCCCAAGUAA
This 1320-nucleotide ribosomal RNA is filed under the name Triticum aestivum (bread wheat). RNAcentral's name for it is "partial small subunit ribosomal RNA". The record is from RNAcentral. Lineage: Eukaryota; Viridiplantae; Streptophyta; Magnoliopsida; Poales; Poaceae.